GUAAUCUUACAGUGUACACAAUAAAAGAAUGGUCUGCUCUUUAAAAUGAAUGCUAACCUUUCUCUAAACUGGAUUUCCAGAGAGAUUGACAGGUGUUAAAAGGAAAUUUCUUCAGAUAUUAAAAAUGCAUAUCUGCCUUUUCACAGGUUUACUGAUGAUGUCCUUAGUGCUCCAAAAUACUUGUAAGGCACCUGUAAAAAAUAGUCCCAGACUGUUGUAUCUUUGACCUGUUGAAAGGUGGAGCUCACUUCCCGAACUCUUGUUUCUUUGGUUCAAGAGAUAGAUCAAGGAAGAGUAUUAAUAAUGUCUGAACCUUUAAUUUGCGGAGCUAUUCUUCUAUAGUGUGCAUUCAGUUCUCAGCAUGCUAUAUUCUUACCAUAUGUGGGCAUCUUAAACACAAGUCUCCACCUGCUGUAUGUGAAUCUCCCACUCAAAGAAAAGAAGUUCGGUAUAUGUUAACCAAUUUUGUUUUGCAGGGCUCAGCUAAAAACUGACCUUUAUACCGAGUGGUAAACCAAAUGCUCAACAUCUGUGCAUAAUCUACAUUGUAUUAGUGGUAUAUCCUCAUACAUAACAUAGUUUUAUCAUGUUUUUAUAUAUGUCUUGUCCAGAAUAUGUCUUGCUGUUUCAUUUCCUGUGCCUAGGGCCCCUGAGAAGGCUGGAGAAAUGGAGUCAGCUGGUACCAGGCUUUUUGCUUUUUGUCUUGAAGCCAGGCUAAUCUUCAAUAAGAUGGCUGGAUACCUGUUCCACAUCCCCACAACCCUCUGGGUAAAGAAGUUUAUACUGUUUUUAGUUUUGUAUUUCCAUGUAGUCUCCUCUGGUGUCAUCUGGUUUGUGUUUAUUCAGAAGACGUCCAGUGGGUUGAAAGAAGUGUCUCCUUGUCUCAAUUUUAAAUGUACUUACACAUAGUUUCUGCUUGUGUGUUCACAUUCCAAUCUUCUUUUUGAAGAAGACCACCAGAUUGACACUGUCAUCGCCUUGGAGGAAUUUAAAAACUUGUAUGAGAAGACCCAUCCAUUAAUACAAAUAGUUAUUUGUUUUUUCCUGCAAUAUGAAACUAUUUUCUUACCUAUGUCGCAAAAAAACAAAACCAACAGGACAUGCCUGAUUAGCUCACUCACAUCAGAAGUGUAAGCGCAUAAAAGCUGGAAAGUAAUUAUCUUAAUUAAUUUCAUCUCGCAUAAACUGUUUCAGCAUAAUUUCAUACCUGCAGCAAUACUUUUAAUGAGAAUACCUUUAGAGAUAGAGUAAGGUGAUUGUGAAAAUCUGAAAACAUAAUGCUCUCUCAAUUCUUUGCACAAUCAAACAGUGGUCACAUUAAAAUAUAUGACAGACUUUGAAGAGGAGAGAACAUUAUUGUUAAUUUGAUGAGCAAGCUGUUUCAGUGUGAUUGCUGGUGGAUAUAUCCUCCCUACACAUGGUGAAGUGGCCAGGGAGGGUGUGUGUUCCUUUCCAAUAAUUAAAAGAAAGAACAGUAAUGUUUUCAGGGAAACCAUCAUAUUAGCUAUCCUAAGCCAAUCCUUACAAAAAUAGCUUAAUGGUUUAUAUAGCUCUCCGCAGAAACCUAAACUAUAGGCAAUUUUUGUAAUGGAUAUAUCAGGAGGAAUACAUGCCCACCCCGGUAAUUCAUUUUUACAAGUAAAAAGAAGAACCCAUUGGGGGUGAACAUGUUUAGACAUCAGCCUGUUGUGUAUUAUAAAAGUGGAGAUAUUUAUCUGUUAAGGGAUGGAAAUGAAUUUAGUAAUUAUGCCGAAACAGAAUGAACAUCACUGUUUUCCACCCCAGUCUCUCUAAGAUACCCAAGAUUUGGAUUCCUAACUUUUUGAAUUUUUGUAUUGCUUAUGUACAGUAUGUGGAUAUAUCAAGAACCACUUUCUUUUUUCCAUUGAGAACAGUCUGUUUGAGAGCUUUUGCAACAGCUGUGAUGUUUGAGUUGUUUCCAUGUCAGACAUGUGGCUGAAAAGUGCCAGAAAACAAGCAGGACAAACGGUAAGUCAUAAAACGAGCCAUUUUGCUUUUCAGUUGAAUCAAAACCACCCUGUUCCCCCAUGUAGUCAUGUAAUGUAGUAUACAGACUAUAAAUCACAUUUUAGCGGCAGGUGCAUUUUAAACAAGCUUCGUUUUUUGAAGUUGGGGUAAACCUCUUUUCAUACAUUUUCAUAAUAUGACAAAAGUAAAACACCUCAAGAAAAUCAUCUAUCAUCUUUGCUUGGUGGUCACACUCCAACAUGGAUAAAUUAAUACCUUUAUUGGAAGACCUUAAGAUUUCAAUUUUCAAACAAUGAAAACAUUACAACAUCAUUUCAACAGAAGAAGACGAAAUGCAGGUAAUCAGCUACUCUUUCAGUGUGGCUGCCUUAGAACAUAUCAAUACCUCAUCGCACAGCUUUAAAAGACGCUACACCACAAAAAUACUGCAAAUCCUCAGUGAAUGAAACAAAAGCCCAUACACCAAAGUAACGUGUGCUGCAAACAGUUAUAAUUCGAAGGGAAAGACAUUCCUUGGUCUGCCAAAGCAGAUCAAAAUCUUACAUUCCAUACCUGUUCAGAUAAGAUUUACAAUGUACAGUAGGCUACAUCAUAAAACUUUAUAUAAUAUCUGGAUUUUGGAAAUAUGUGGUAAUAAUAAUGAUUGUACUGGUACGUUUCCAACAUCCUGUAAAUGAAACACACGAGUAUGCAGUUCAUAAAUGA
Non-coding RNA from Lepisosteus oculatus (spotted gar), 2694 nucleotides. The record is from RefSeq and is a predicted model, not a curated record. NCBI's taxonomy places the organism in Eukaryota, Metazoa, Chordata, Actinopteri, Semionotiformes, Lepisosteidae.